AUCUCUUUUGCGAUUUUUCUCCCUCCCCAUCUCCACACCAAUUUGUUUCCCAAUCUCUCAUCCACCUGACAACGACGACCUUUGGUGGCUCAGCAACAUCGACGUCCUUGAUGCUCAUUUGCAUGAUUAUUGGUGCGUUUUGGGGGUUAGGGUUUAAAAUUGGGGAUUUGGGUUUUUUAUUCUUGGGGAUUAGGGUUUAAAAUUGGAGAUUUGGGUUUCUAUUCUGGUUUUCAUUACGUUGCUCUAUUACUAGUUUAUAGUUUAUAGAAGAUGGUGAUUGUGGCUAAUAUUCACAGUAGUAUCAUCACUUCUUUGAACACUAUCAUGGGUUAUGACAUCUUUCAUUUUCUUAAAUUUUCCUCCCAUAUGGCACACUGUUUUGGUUACAGGUUUCUGAAAUUUUUUGCAAAAUCAGUCACCGCUCUGUUAUUGCCACUGGAUUAGGAAGCACAAGUGUUGGAUUCACUAUAUUGUGAAUGAUGAAGGUAUGUUUUUUAAGCUGAUUACUGUAUGAUACUGUGAUUUUCUGGUUUGCUCCUUGUUGUAUCUUGUAUAUUCUGUUAUGCCAUAUUGUGAAAGCUUGCUAUUAGUGGUUGUCUAGAUACAAUGAUCUGGUUUAUGGAAUUAAUAAUUCCCUCACGUAAUUAAAUUAUCCUCCAUGUAACUUUGUGUUGUAUAAAUUUUUUUACAUUAACGCAUGCCAUCAUGUAACAGUCCAACUUCAAUUCCUGAUUUUUAUUUUUAUUUUUUACAUUUAGAAGUAAGGAAUAUAUUUUAUAAAUAGUAGGAAANUAGAAAGUGUUUUAUCUUUACUUGGACCCUCUGUACAAAUCAUACAUAUGUAUAAUUUUUUUUAUAUUAUACUUUAACAACUACCUUUGAUACACCAUUUUCCAUAUAAAUGAAAAAAAAAAUGAUUUUGCUGCUGUCAAUUUUUUUAAAGGCAACCGAAUGAGUAUUUCAGUGUUAUUAUUUUGAAAUUGUUUCCAUUCAAUUCAAUUCAAUGUUAUAAUUUAAGUCUAUUAUAUUCAAUGUUAUCAUAUUUUCAUAAAUAUGAGUGGACCUUGCUUGUCCAUUAUAAAAUAACUUUAUUUUAUUUCCCUUUUUUACAGGAGGACAAUAGGCAGACUAAUGACCAGUGCAUGAAGUCUACAAGCAAUGAACAAGUUAUUUCCCUUCAACCUGAAGAUUAGGCUUUGAUUAAGUGUUAUUUAAGUUUUGUUUUUUGAUUAGAUAUUAUUUAAGUUUUCUUUAGGUUACUUAGACUUAAGAGAUUAAGUUAAACUACAAAUUUUAAGUUAGACAUCUUAUUUGUUUAUUUGGAUUUUGAAACUUUA
This 1337-nucleotide long non-coding RNA is filed under the name Vigna radiata. RNAcentral describes it as "long non-coding RNA (VRAD_LNC000739)". Lineage: Eukaryota; Viridiplantae; Streptophyta; Magnoliopsida; Fabales; Fabaceae. The record is from RNAcentral.